UUUUCGGAAAGAACGUUUGGCCCACUAUCCUUCCCAUCCCACAAGUACAAAGUACAAACAAAUGCAGCGCAGCGGAGCUUCUCAAUGCUUUUUAGGACAUGGUAAUCCUCUCCAUCUAAAUUGAACUUAUAGCUCCAUUUUCUCAAAAUUUUCCAUGAAUCUAACUCAGAAAUCAAUUAAAUCUACAUGUUCAAAUGGAGACUUAGUUAUUAAUUUCAAGAAUCUGCAGCCAAGACUGAAUUUUGCAUCAUUGCCAUCAUCAUCAUCAUCAAAUUCUCUCCAAACUCUAACAGAUUAUAGUGAGUCCACCAAAUCCAUUUCAAACCCUCUUCACAACUUUCUACCUAAAUUCCAAAACCCCCAAAACACAGUUAGUCUAAUAUGUUCAGCUCUAAAGAACAGAAACAAUGACCAUUUAGUCCUCCUUCAAAAAACCAUCCAAAAUAAUGGACUUAUGAGUCAUUUCAGUAACAAUGAAAUCUCAAGGGUUCUUUUAAGAUGUCAAUCUGAUUCAUCUAGUGCUCUUAGUUUCUUUAAUUGGGUUAAAACUGAUUUGGGUUUGAAACCUAACACUCAAAAUUACUGUCUUGUAAUUCAUAUACUUACUUGGUCAAAAAACUUUUCACAAGCAAUGAAAAUUUUGUCUGAAUUGGUUGAUUUAAAGAGAAAUGGAGUGGAAAAUGUGGAUGUUUUUGAUAGUUUGGUGUCAUCUAGUGGUUUAUGUAAUUGGGAUCCUGUUGUGUUUGAUAUGCUAAUUAAGGCUUUUCUUAAAGUGAAUAUGGUGAAAGAUGGUUAUAGAGUUUUUAGAAAGACGGUAAAACAUGGAAUUUACCCGAGCGUUAUUGCUAUAAACUGUCUUUUAACUGGUCUUUCGAAGUUGAAUUAUAGUAAAAAAUGUUGGGAAGUGUAUGGUGAAAUGGAAAGAAUUGGGGUGCAUCCGAAUUCGUGUACGUUUAAUAUAUUAACUCAUGUGUUGUGCAAGGAUGAAGAUGUGAAUAAGGUUAAUGAUUUCUUGGAGAAAAUGGAAGAAGAAGGGUUUCAACCCGAUAUAGUUACGUAUAAUACGUUAGUUAGUAGCUAUUGUAGGAAAGGAAGAAUGAAAGAUGCAGUUUACUUGUAUCAAAUUAUGUAUAUUAGAGGCGUAUCACCGGAUUUGUUCACGUAUACUUCUUUGAUAAAUGGGUUUUGUAAAAAGGGAAAUGUCAAGGAUGCUCAUCAGUUGUUUGUGAGAAUGUCUGACAGAGGAUUAAAACCAGAUGUUAUAUUGUAUAACACUCUUAUUUGUGGUUAUUGCAAAGAGGGGAUGAUGCAAGAGGCACGGUUUUUGUUGCAUGAUAUGAUUGGAGAAGGGAUGUACCCUGAUAAGUUCACUUGUUCGGUUCUUGUACGAGGAUAUCAAAAGCAGGAUAAUCUGGUUUCGGCUGUGAAUUUAGUCACAGAGCUUCAAAGAUUUAGAUUUGUAGUAUCUCGUGAUAUAUACAAUUAUCUAAUUUCUGCUCUUUGUAUGGAGAAUCGACCAUUUGCAGCCAAAGCUCUAAUUGAUCGAGUAUCAUAUGAGCCUGAUAAUAUGGUCUAUAGGGAGUUGAUUGAAUCUUUCUGCAGAUGCAAUUGCCCUGAUGAGGCCUUAAGCUUGAAAGCGGAGAUGGUGUCAAAAGAUUUGAAGCCCGAUAUAGGUACAUAUAGAGCUAUAAUUAAAUGUUUGUGUAAAUCAGGCAGAAGCAUGGAUGCUAACUCCUUGAUGAGAGAAAUGACUGAUUAUGAUGUGCCGCCUGAUAUUGAAGUUUGUAGAGCUUUAAUUAACGGGCAUUGCGGGGAAAACAAUUUCCGUGAGGCACAAUCCCUGUUAAGCUUCUUUGGUCGAGAGUUCAAAAUAUUUGACACGGUUUGUUACAACGCAAUUGUCAGGCUUCUAAGUGCUGAAGGUGAUAUUGUAAAAUUGAUGGAAUUUCAAGAUAAAAUGAGGAAAGUGGGGUUUGCGCCAAAUCAGCUGACAUGCAAGUACGUAAUUGAUGGAUUACAGAAAGCUGUGAGAGCCCACCAAAUCAAUAUCUGAGGUGCAUUAAUGAGUGAAAAUAGAAGAAUCCAUCUGGUCAGACGCGGUAUACUUACAUCCAGCAAGAAGGAAGGGGAACCGGGAAUUAGGAACUUGAGCCUACAAAACUGAAGCCUGAUGAAGAAGUUGUGGUUGUAAAAGCAAAUGAUAAAAUUCAUGUAGGAUUUGCAAAGAAAUCACAGUCUCUAUUCGGUCCUGUCGGAUGGUCAUUCAGAGAACUCUCCAAAUGUAACAUCUUUUUCUUUGGGCAGUUAAGUCUUUUGGUGGCAAUGAUUUUCUCCAUAAGUUGACAUUGCUGCAGUGGAUGUCGAAAGACCUUAGCUUCUCUACUGAAAUGUGCUUGGGUUCACACAUCUCGAGAAUGGGCACGAAGGUUCUUGAUCUCAAUGUUUCAGAAAUCAAGGAUCAAUCAGUUCACGGUGCAGGGUUAUGAAUCUGAAGCUAUCUUACUUACAGAGGGGUUGGCAUUGGUUUCUACUAGAGUUGGACUUAAGAUCCUCGGUACAAGAACGAUCAAGUUUGAAUUAUGUAUUCACUGGUUCUUUGUAGCUGUUUUAGGGUUCCUUCAUCGCUGACCUAAAUUUGGUAAGAAAAGUUUCAUCUGAGUUCAACUCUGCGUAAUUUGCCUCGCUGCCUUUUUACCUUUGUCUUUUCUGAAUUUGACAAAUAUUUUGGAUAGACAAAUGAUAAAAGAAGGUUUAAUCAUUGGACUGUGUGUUAUUUCUGUAUUAUUUUUAAGCUAGUUUAUACAGGACUAGCAUCUACAGUGAUAUGGUUCAUACAGAUACGUGAAUUAUUUCAUAGAAGUCCUGUAAUGUAAUUUCAAUUUAACUAGCUAAAAGUACUCUCAGUGCCCGAGUAUCUGGUCCACACUUUUUUUUUUUUUUGGAUAAGGUAAUAAGCUUUAUUGACAAGUUUGGGCAUAAAAACCGUAUACAAGAGGUAUACCAAAAAGUAGAGAGCUACACUAUCUGGUCCACACUUGUGAAUCCAAUGAGAAGGAAUUCUAAAUUGUCUUUAUUAGCCAGUGUUGUUGUUUGGAACAAAUGAUGUACAAAAAUUAUUGUGAUAAGUAGUAUUUCUGACAUGUCGUCAGCAGAUGCACAAAUUUCAUGAAUUAUAAGUGGAUGGCUAGAGAAGGUGUCCAUGAUCAAAGGUCAGAUCCCUGCUUCCAUUGUAUUGGAAGUCACCUGUAUUUGCCAGUUAAUUGUAGAGACUUCUGUUAAUAUCAAAAGCACCAACAUUUACUGCUAUGUAUUGGUUUUAAUACAAGGGAGGAAAAAAUGAGAAGCUUCUUCAGGUUUUUGUUUUUUGACAUGCAGAUGCACAUGUGGGGCGGGAGUACGCCACUGUUCAAGAGUUUAUACAUUAUUGAAGCUGAUGUAGCUCUCUACUAUAUAUGAUGCUUCUGUCAUCCUUCCACAUCUUUUCUUUUCACCUAUGACAAAGUGGUCUUCUCUUUAUAUAUUUUUUCUUUCUUUGUUUACAUUUUUAUAGAACACAAUGGAAGCAAAGAAUCUAUGUGGAAAUUCUAACUAGUUGGGAGUCUGGCCUAGUUGUUUUUGUUAAACUUAGAUUAGGCCUGGACGGAUAAUUGUAAGACUUCGAGAUCCACAAGCUUUAUAAAACCCCACAUUUGUAUUAAAAGACAAAACAUUACGUCUUGUUACUUACUGAUGUUGGUUGAAAUUGGUUCCUGAUCUAUAUCAGUAUUUGUAUUGGCCACUCCAUCUAGGUUGUGAUUGAAGCAUAGUAGCUUCAUUGAUUUGCAUGGGUAAAUGAUCAAAAUUGCCAUCCUUCCUUUCA
RNA transcript from Lycium barbarum (goji berry), 3859 nucleotides. It is a transcript of the gene named pentatricopeptide repeat-containing protein At5g40400, with no coding region annotated. The record is from RefSeq and is a predicted model, not a curated record. The transcript has 3 exons. NCBI's taxonomy places the organism in Eukaryota, Viridiplantae, Streptophyta, Magnoliopsida, Solanales, Solanaceae.